GCCCGCCUCAGGUGCACGUAGAUGUGAUGGUGACAACCAGCUCGACGUCUGACAAGAAGACUCCCAGCGGAACGCUGCAAAGAGAAGAGGAGGACGAAGACAGUGAGACGGAAUAAAUCUAUAUAAACAGGGGCAACCUACUGGACAACACUGAUUCAUCCUCUCAUUCCCACUGAAAUAAAGCUUAUUAUGCUCCAGCAGGCUGCCAGGGGCCGAGCCAUAAACAGCCCUGCUCUGGGCUAUUUCAUCUUACAUAAGUCCCCCGAGUCCUGGAGGACAUCCACAGAGGAAUGCGCUGCCUACAGGCCUGCAGUCCCCUCCGUUCUGGCAGGGGUUCGGCAUGCAGGAUGUCAGUUCAACUUCACAGCGCCCCCCGGUGAAGCCAGAGCUGCAACUGCACAUGAAGCCUGCGCGAAAGAGUGUGUGAAAUAUUUCUGUUAUUUAUUCAAACGCCAAGGUGAGUACCGGCCGCACACAUUUGCACUAUUAUCUACACCGACCUCCCAAGGGCAGGCUGCUGCAGAUGGCUCCGUUGAGGCAGGGCUGACUGACACAUGGGUCUGGAUAGAGCACGCAGCCCAACUUGACCUCGUUGAGCCCGGCGAUCUCGGCCGAGCGGCUCCUUUUAUUUUGCAGCGGCAACUCGUCGCCGUUCAGCAUCAGCGAGCCCAGGCACCCCUGGAAGCCGUCCUGAGCCCUCGGCGGGCCCCUAGCUCGGUCCCCGAAUCUCUGCACCGCCUGGUUUCUCCCCGGCCCCGGGCUGGGCCUCGUACCGUGGCUGCUCGGAGGCCUCACCUGGGCCCCGAAGAAAAAGGAGGAAUCCGGGGCCAGAGGCCAGAGGCGGACGGGUGCGCGAGCCGCCCGCCGACGUUCCACAUAGCUGUCAUCCAGCGACAGGAGCGUAUAGUUCCUUGUCAGCUCCAAGGCAACAGCGUGCCAGAGGCCGUCAUUUAUUGGCCUGCCAGAGAUACCCAUAAUGCCUAGGGUGUUGUCACAGUCCAACUGGAACCAGAGUCUACCCCCUUCAAUCUUUACAAAGAAAAAAAUAUAUUAUUAGAUCUAAAACAACAACCUGCAGUAGUGCAUUGUAGCAUUAAGACAUGGCAGGUUUACUUUGAGCAUGGUGCAGGGGUUAACGCGCGUAAACAUGAUGACUCCUCUUCUCUGGAGAGUUCUGAUCCUCAGGCCGAGCCUCAUCUCUCCGCUCUGCCCGCUCUCCGUCACCCUGUAUUUGAUGUAGCUGUUCCCGGAGAAGCUCAGAGAGCAUCAGGAUCCGGCUGUACCUGCGCACUCGUCUAGUUUCUCACGCUGACACUGGCAGACAGAGGGCGCUGUAGGACCGGAGCGGACACACUGCAUGUCUGCUGGGCAGGACUGUCCUUCACAGAGCUCCACAGGGGUGGGGCAUGCGCCUCCUGUGCAGAGAGGAGCGUCUUGAUGAAUAUCUAAACAUAUGUUAGAAGGAGAACAUGGGUUUGGCGCUCACCGCAGGUGCAGGUCUCACUAUAGCUGAACUUUGGCGACACCAAGCUGACCCUCUCCGUGCUGUAGGUCACCGGUGAGUCUCCCUCCGUCACAAGUGUCUUUUCACACACCCUGUCCCCGCAGUCCAGCUCCCCGGAGCACACGCUGCUCACCACCACCGCCCCGACCAGGAGCCCUCGAACCUGGCCCCGUGCGGCCGCCUCCUCCAGCCUCGCCGACAGCUCCUGCUGGGAGUAGAAGCCGCCCAUCCGCCCGCCGCCCGCCGCCUCUGGCCGUUCCAUGGCCAGGAGCAAGUCCACGCUAUGCGUCCCCCUCACCGGCUGUAUGCAGAGGAUGUGGAGCGGAUCCUGCUGCCCUGGUGACCAUUUCCAGCCAGCGAGUCCACGUAGCGUGAGCUUAAUCUGGUUCAGGUAGCGGCCGAGCAGGUCCUCUGGUGACAGGGAGCUGAAACGCAAGGUCAGCGCACUGCGCAGCAGCAAAUCUGUCACCUGCUCGACUUGGACGGACACGUCGGCAAUCACGGCGAAGCGCCCGUCGCUCACCGUGGCGUUCAUCUGAUACCUGGAGGAGGACGAGAAUACGAGUUUGCGAGUGAACAUGCUUUUGGCCUGAGGCCUCUGGGUGAAAGACAGGACGUCACUGGGAUCGCGGUCCGUCGCGUAGAUCCGACCCACCAGGCCGCCUUGGAAGGUAUCCGUUAGCAUGACAAUGAAGAUCUCCAAAGGGGACACGGCCGGCUUGUACUGGCUGUUCCCAAUGACCCUCAGGAAGACCCAGGAGGAAGAGAUAUUUCUCCAGAAUCACCAUCCCAGACACCGGAUCGAUGGAGAAGAAUCCAUUGGCUGAAUUCGCCAGAGAAUACACAACAGUGCGGUUAAGCCCUGGAUGUGACGGGAGGAGAGAGAAUAUUAGCAAUGCUGAUGAAAUAUGGUUCAUUUAACGUGCUGGAUGUCUAACAUACAGAUGGGGCUGUUGUCGUUGGCGUCCAUGACGGUGACCUCCACCGCGGUGCGAGCGACGUACAGGCCGUCGCUGGCCGUGAUGUUGAGCAGAUACCAGUCCUGCUGCUCGCGGUCCAGCAGGCCGCUCACGUAGACCUUCCACUCCCCCUGCACGAGAGCCAGGCCAAACACGCCCCGCGGGUUUCCCCCUGGAAAUCACAGGAAGCCAGAUUGCUGGCAUGUUGGUGACGGACAAACAGAAAGUUGUGCGGAAUCACGCGAUGAAUGAACAUGAGCCCUCUCUCCAUCUAGACCCUCAAAGAAUUAAAGUAGCCUUUCUGUGCAAUCAGUAAACAGCACCAUGUAUCAAACCGACCAAAAAAAAACCCUUCGUUACUGUGCUUCCAUUAGGCCAAUAAGUAUUUUAAAUGCCAGAACACAAGGCAGACAUAUGUCAUCCGUAGCCAUUACCAGGCUGUGUUAUGUGAGUUGGCUUUGGCUGAAGAGACAUCACCAUGAAUCUCAUAGAAGAAGAAAAUGUUCUAGUUGGAGUUUCUCUUGCGUUUCCCUGCGAGGUAGUGCAGUGACAUAAAUAAAGAGGGAAGGGUUUGGGCUGCACAAGGUUAGAUGCUGAAAACUAAUUUUCUAAAGCAAUGCACAUCAGGAAUUUUAUGUAAGGAGGUAAAGAUAUUAGAGCAGAGAAUGCUCCAUCGUAGGAGGUGACACUACACCGUCAGCGGGAAUGUUACUGAACUCUGCGUUCGUUAGGUCACAGGCAGAAGACUGAAGAAGAAAACCAUUAGAUAGAUGCAGUAUAAUGGUUCUGAGAUGCAAUGUUCUCACCGGUGAUGUAAAAGCUGACCAGGCGGUUCUGAUCCGUUCCAUCCUGGUCUUUGGUUUUCAGAACGGCCACCACCUCGCCGAGCGGGUCGCUCUCCUUUACCGCGCCCCGAUAGAGCUCCCUCUCGAACCGCGGCGGGUUGUCGUUGACGUCCGACACAGUGAUGGUCACCACCGCGGUGGAGGACAGAGCCUGCAGCUCCCCCAGAUCUGAGGCCACCACCUCAAAGCUGUAGCUGGAGCAGGCCUCGUGGUCCAUCGGACUCAGUGUGGUGACCCAGCCUGUUUUGCUGUCGAUGGCGAAGACUGAGGCGGUGGUGACGGGGCCACUGAAGGAGCGAGCGUCCUUUGUUAAGUCCAGGUUGUAGGUGAGCAUGGGCCCGAGGCUGUAGGCGACCUGCAACGAGACGGAGCCGUCGAAGCAUCUGCCACUCUCUAAGCUGAACUCCCACCGGGACUCGGCGGUCACACACCUGCCCGUUGGCUCCCCAGUCUGGAUCAAGGGCUCGCACCUGGACCACUCUGGUCCCCACCGGCAUCCCCUCCAUCACUGUUGCCACGUAGGUGUUGGUCUCGAACACCGGCCUGUUGUCGUUCACGUCCAGGAUCUGCAAAAUCACAAGUCUUCACAUGUUCAGCUUGAAGGUUUGGUGUAAAGCGUUGUUAACGGCAUCACCGACCUUAACCUCCAGGUCCACGGUGGACAUCGACUCAAUCAGGUCUCGCCGAGUUGUCGCUGCAACCUUGAAGCGGAAGGUGCUGACCUGCUCGUAGUCCAGCGGUUUCACCAGACGGAUCAGACCCGUCUCUCUGUCCACCAGGAAGGUCCCUCCCUGGUUGCUGUCGACCGUCUCGCCUCCGAUUGCAGUGAAGAAGCCCAUCUGUCCAGAGCCCAUGUACACGGAGCCCAGGGCGGUGCCCACUGCCGUGUCCUCGGGGAUGGUGAAGGAGUACUGAGGCUGGCUGAAGGAGGGGACGAACGCCUCUGGAGGGACCACAUGGAUGAAAGCUGACACCAGAGAGUGUUUGGCUGGAGAGCCGCAGUCCGAGGCUUUGACAAAGAAGGACAGCAUGGUCCCUUGGAGGUGGUCCACCGUGCUUUUAGUCAUCAUCCAACCACUGUCUGGCUCCACCUUGUCAGCAGCAAACAAUCACUGUGUCAUUCUAUCCUAUUGGCAGUAGAGGCCAAGUGAUAAAGCACUUAGCUUUGACUCACAUCAGGCCUAAUAUACUGUAUUUGAAGAUAAAAACAUGCACUGACCUCCAGCACAUCGACCAGCGACAGACGCGCCUCGCUGUAAAGGGAGUAGAUGAUCCUUCCAUUGGACCCAGCAUCAGGGUCGGUGGCCUGGAUCUGCGUGACCAGAGAACCUUUGGCAACGUUUGCUUUGAUGCUCAUGCGAUACUCCACGGCUCUGAACCGAGGGGCGUUGUCGUUCUCAUCCUCCAGAACCACUCGCACCGUGCAAAAUGACGCCCGGCCUGCAAAUGGUUCUCUCUGUCUAAUUUCUGAAGAGUGGAUAUGACUCCGUCUGCAUCGAUGGCAAAGUGGCUUUUCCCCAGGUCAUUGACGAAGGAAUAGGUGAUCUGUCCAAAUAACCCGGAGUCCUCAUCUGUAGCUCGAACCUGGAGGUUCUGAUUGAUGACAGUCACCACCCCAGUGUAGCGGUCCACAGAGAAGAGCUCCACGCUGCUGUCCAGCAGGGAGUAAACUAGCUGCGAGGCGAUGGAUUUGUCGGGGUCCAGGGCGAGGUCGGCCGACAUGUCCGGG
This is a long non-coding RNA of Betta splendens (Siamese fighting fish), 5037 nucleotides long. RefSeq lists it as uncharacterized. Lineage: Eukaryota; Metazoa; Chordata; Actinopteri; Anabantiformes; Osphronemidae. The record is from RefSeq and is a predicted model, not a curated record. The transcript is spliced from 10 exons.